CAGGAUAGCUUGAACGCCGACGGUUUUGUCAGGUAAAGCGAAUGAUUAGAGGCCUUGGGGCUGAAACAGCCUUAACCUAUUCUCAAACUUUAAAUGGGCAAGAGGCGCCGGAUGCUUAACUGAUCCGGCGCGGUGAACGGCGCGUUCAAAGUGGGCCAUUUUUGGUAAGCAGAACUGGCGAUGCGGGAUGAACCGAACGCGACGCUAAGGUACCCAAGUGUCCGCUCAUCAGAGACCACAAAAGGCGUUGGUACCUCCAGACAGCAGGACGGUGGCCAUGGAAGUCGGAACCCGCUAAGGAGUGUGUAACAACUCACCUGCCGAAGGUACUAGCCCUGAAAAUGGAUGGCGCUCAAGCGGACCACCGAGGCGUUGCCGCCGGCGCGAGCGCGAGGCGUCCGGCGAGUAGGAGGGCGCGCAGUGGGCGACGCAGCUUGAGGCGUGAGCCUGAGUGAAGCCGACUGUGGUGCAGAUCUUGGUGGCAGUAGCAAAUAUUCAAGUGAGAACCUUGAAGACUGAAGUGGGGAAGGGUUCCAUGGUAACAGCAGUUGGACAUGGGUCAGUCGGUCCUAAGAGAUAGGGGAAUUCCGUUUCAAAGUGUG
RNAcentral lists this ribosomal RNA (602 nucleotides) under uncultured Phaeocystis. Its description in RNAcentral is "partial Eukaryotic large subunit ribosomal RNA". It matches the Rfam family "Eukaryotic large subunit ribosomal RNA", at positions 974 to 1577 of the family's 3401-position model. Lineage: Eukaryota; Haptophyta; Phaeocystales; Phaeocystaceae. The record is from RNAcentral.